UAAGGAAUAUUGGUCAAUGGACGCAAGUCUGAACCAGCCAUGCCGCGUGAAGGAUGAAGGUCCUCUGGAUUGUAAACUUCUUUUAUAUGGGACGAAAACGGGAUUUUUAUCUCAAUUGACGGUACUAGAGGAAUAAGCACCGGCUAACUCCGUGCCAGCAGCCGCGGUAAUACGGAGGGUGCGAGCGUUAUCCGGAUUUACUGGGUUUAAAGGGUGCGUAGGUGGGCUUAUAAGUCAGUGGUGAAAUCUCCGAGCUUAACUUGGAAACUGCCGGUGAUACUAGAAGUCUUGAAUUAUCUGGAGGUAAGCGGAAUUUGUCCUGUAGCGGUGAAAUGCGUAGAUAUGACAUAGAACACCAAUUGCGAAGGCAGCUUACUACAUAUAAAUUGACGCUGAGGCACGAAAGCGUGGGGAUCAAACA
RNAcentral lists this ribosomal RNA (421 nucleotides) under uncultured bacterium. Its description in RNAcentral is "bacterial SSU rRNA". It matches the Rfam family "Bacterial small subunit ribosomal RNA", at positions 355 to 774 of the family's 1533-position model. The record is from RNAcentral.